This is a small nucleolar RNA of Choloepus didactylus (southern two-toed sloth), 132 nucleotides long. RefSeq annotates it as small nucleolar RNA SNORA42/SNORA80 family. Lineage: Eukaryota; Metazoa; Chordata; Mammalia; Pilosa; Megalonychidae. The transcript has a single exon. The record is from RefSeq and is a predicted model, not a curated record.
AAAUAUAUCUGGAUUUAUGGCAGGGCCGUCCCCCUGGGGCUCUCAUAGUGUCUCAUGCUACAGCACACCGUAGCCCCGAACCAUUGCCUGGCCUUGUCCAUAGGCUUCAGCACUGAAGUAGGUUGCACAGUA